AGGUGGCGCUGUGGAGCCGCGCAGGGUCUAGGGCGACUCUCUGAGGGAGCCGCGGCCGCCAGGCUCCGUGGGUUUUGGUUCAGGCGCCGGGGGCGAACAGAGUCCAUGGAGGAUGGUCACUUCACCCAGGCCUCGGUGUCAUCACGGACAGCUUUCAGAAAGGGGAGACAGCCUGGACAUGGUGGCUCACACCCAUAACCUCAGCACUUUGUGAGGCCAAGGUGGGGAGGAUCACUUGAGGCCAGGGGUUCAAGACCAGCCUGGGCAACGUAGUGUGCCCAAGGAUGUUGUAGAACUCUGUCUAGCCACAGUGUGGGGAUGGGGAGCUCCCGCCGACAGACUCUGUUGCUUUCUGGCUUGGU
This 362-nucleotide long non-coding RNA is filed under the name Homo sapiens (human). RNAcentral describes it as "long non-coding RNA NONHSAT192260.1". The record is from RNAcentral. Lineage: Eukaryota; Metazoa; Chordata; Mammalia; Primates; Hominidae.